This 444-nucleotide ribosomal RNA is filed under the name uncultured bacterium. RNAcentral describes it as "partial 16S ribosomal RNA". It matches the Rfam family "Bacterial small subunit ribosomal RNA", at positions 354 to 796 of the family's 1533-position model. The record is from RNAcentral.
GUGAGGAAUAUUGGACAAUGGGCGCAAGCCUGAUCCAGCCAUGCCGCGUGCAGGAAGACGCAUCUAUGGUGUGUAAACUGCUUUUGUACGGGAAGAAACACUCCCUCGUGAGGGAGCUUGACGGUACCGUAAGAAUAAGGAUCGGCUAACUCCGUGCCAGCAGCCGCGGUAAUACGGAGGAUCCAAGCGUUAUCCGGAAUCAUUGGGUUUAAAGGGUCCGUAGGCGGUUUAAUAAGUCAGUGGUGAAAGCCCAUCGCUCAACGAUGGAACGGCCAUUGAUACUGUUAGACUUGAAUUACAAGGAAGUAACUAGAAUAUGUAGUGUAGCGGUGAAAUGCUUAGAUAUUACAUGGAAUACCAAUUGCGAAGGCAGGUUACUACUUGUGGAUUGACGCUGAUGGACGAAAGCGUGGGGAGCGAACAGGAUUAGAUACCGUGUAGUCC